CUGUGUUGUUCUAGAAAGCCCUCUCAAUCCUAUCGCCACGAGCCCACGACACGACGCGGAAGUAACCCGGCUGCUCCGGAACUCUCUCUCGCCAUGCUGCCGGCGGUCGCCGCCUUCUCGCCGACGCCGCACGUCUCCCCGGCCCUGUCCUCCCAUCUCCGGUGCCACAACCUGGGCCUUCGCUUCCACGCACGCGUCCGUGCUUCCUCCAGGUCGUCCUCGUCCGGCGCCGGCCGCGCCCGCCUCCUCCUCGCCGGCGCGUUCGCCUCCAUCGACGGUGGCGCGGGACAUGAUGUUGGUAGUUCUGCUGGCUCCAAAAGUUCUGGAUCUGCAUACAUUGGCCUCUUUGUUCGAAUGCUUGGCUUGGACAAUGACUCUCGUGACAGGGAGCAUGCUGUUUGCACACUCUGGCAAUACUCCCUUGGUGGACGGAGGAGCAUUGAUGAGAUAAUGCAAUUCACUGGUUGCAUUGUUCUCGUCAUUAGCCUGCUGAAAUCAGAAUCUAUUCGCGCCUGUGAAGCAGCUGCAGGUCUUCUGCGUAACGUAACGUCAGUUCAGUUAUACAGGCAGAUGGCCGUUGAGAGUGGAGCAAUGGAAGAAAUCUUCAGUCUUCUCUGUAAAUCUACAGUAACCCCUGAGACGAUCGAGCAGUGUUUGUGUACCAUUUGGAACUUUUCUAUUGAUGAGAAUUGGAGGUACAAGAUUUUGAGGAGUGAUGUUCUAACAAAGAUUGUUAGCUACCUAGAUGAUGAAGUUAUAAAAUUCAAAGAGGCUGCUGGUGGUAUCAUAUCAAAUUUAGCCUUAAGUCCUUCUAAUCAUGGACCUCUGGUCGAAGCAGGUGUGAUUCCAAAAUUGGUUCACCUUUUGCAAAACAAAGAAGAGGACUAUAAGAUUAUCAGAAAGGAAGCUAGAAGUUCACUUAUACAGCUAGCCAUCGAUGAUUAUUACCACAGCCUUAUAAUAGAGGAGGGUCUAGUCCGGGUUCCUUUGGUUGGCUCAGCUGCAUACAAAGCUUUUAGACCUCUCCCUCAUUCAUGGCCUUCUUUUCCUGAUGGCUCUGAGAUUCAACGGAGUUCUCGCCCCUCAAAAUACGGUGCUACGGAACUGCUCCUUGGCUUGAGUGUGAAUGAGAAGGAAACAAAACCCGACAAAGCUAAAAUUAAUGCUAUGAUAGGGCGUUCUAAUCAGCAAUUCCUUGCACGUGUUGGAGCUAUUGAGUUGGAUGAUGAAGGAAAGGACCAAUCUGGAUCUGAAAAGAAUGACCUCUAUACCAUUUUGCCAUGGGUAGAUGGUGUUGCACGGCUAGUUUUAAUCCUUGGUCUUGAAGAUGUAUCUGCAAUUAAAAAGGCUGCUAGAGCAAUAGGCGAUGCGUCAAUAAAUGAACAUAUGCUCACCUCAUUCAAGGAAGCUGGGGCUGUUAAACCUCUACUUCAGUUGCUGAAGCACAGUGAUCUACCUGUUAGAGAAGCUGCUGCUUAUGCGUUGGAAAGACUAAGUGUCAGCUCCACAAUCUGUCAGAAGAUCAAAGCAGAAGGUGGACUAGAACUGCUUCUAAACGCAGUGAAGGAUCCAAAUACUCAUGUAGAACAACUAGAGAAGAUAAUUUAUACACUUUCUCGAAUAUUUGACAGGGGGACCAGCAUGGUAGAUGCGCAGGAUAGCUAUGCUUGUAAUGGGUCCGAGGAUGUAACAAAUUCAGAGACGAGUAUUCAAGGUGAUAUAGAUACUGAAAACAAUGGAAUUUCCCAUACUGUAAACCAAGAGAUGACCAGCGAGAUGAUCGUUGAUUUUGAUGCAAUCUCAUGCUUAACCAAAGUUCUGAAGGAAGGAUCGCCGAGUCUGCAAGCAAAAGUCUGUUCUGUACUGGAGCAUUUCGCAGCUUCUGAGCAACAUGCCACUGCAAUGAUUGCUGCUUGCACUGGUUCAGUAAUCGAAACUAUUCUGGAAAUUGGGGUCAUUUAUGGGACCAGAGGUGAUCCUGAAAACUUUGAUGACCUUCCUAGCGUAGUCACUGAAGAAGUCAGUCAGGCUGUGUCUGCAGCUGUGAGGUUACUCACAAAGUUAUUGGACUUUGAUCUUUUCAUCCGCAGCAUAAAUAGUGAGAAAUUUACUUCUCUGUUAAGAAGAAUGCUCAAGUCCAGUUUUCCCCUUCAGUCAAAGGAUUGGCUUGCAGCGUGCCUCGUUAAGCUAGAAUCAAGAGCUGGAUUAUCAGGAGAUCAUGGUGUCAGCAGUAUAGAUAUGGAGAUAACAAUUUAUGAGACUAUUCCAAGACUAGUUGAGCAAAUGAUGACCUCAUUUUCUUUCGAAAAUAAAGGAAGUGCCGUAAUAGAGCUGAACAAGAUCAUAUCUGGUGGUGUGAUGGAAUACACAAGAGCGGUGGCUGCAAUUGGAGGGAUAUUUCCGCUGGUGAAACUGCUUGAAGAGGGCGAUGAAGGUGCACUGGAAGCUAGCCUAGCUAUCUUGUAUAAUUUGAGCAUGGAUCCAGAGAAUCACCCAGCAAUAAUUGCUGCCGGAGCGGUGCCUCUGUUAAAGCGGAUUGUUCUUGCGCAAGGCUCACACUGGACUAGUGCUCUUCAGUUGUUGAGAACUUUACCUGUAUGACAUCAUGGAAACAAAUGACCAUCAUCAAUGGACGUUUAAAGUGUACUUGUAGCGUGCACAGGUACGCCGCUAGUUAGUUAGAUAAUUAAGAUUGCAGCGGAACCAAUCCUGCUCAGAACCGUCAUGUAGAAAUAGAGUUUCAUGACAGUGGCCUUAUGAAACCAGGAGUUCCAAAUCCCGGCCUUAUCUUAGCAAUGGCGUCGCCAUUUUAUGACCAAUUGAAGUGCCUUUCUAUCAAGCGCCGUGGCUGGAGCAGGAUGACUGCUUUCCAAAGAUAAUCUUUUUGCUAAUAGGUUAUGGCAAAAGUUAGUCCCAUUCACUUUUGGACAUAGUAGCAGUUGCUGGUUGUGUGCCCUGCAGAAGUUCACAUUGUGCUUGUUCAUUCCACCCUGUUUUUUUGAACGCUGGGUUACUACUCUGGAAAAAAGAAAAGGAAGAGCCUUUUGUUAACAAUAUAUAACUGAAGGGAUGCUAGAUAGAGCUAUUACGCUGUGUUUAUCUGACGGAGCAGAGCGCAUGCUGAGGUUGUAACUCGCGUGGGAUAUCGGAUGUGUAACCUGGGUCACAUGAUCGUGGCAUUGCUUUGCCAUCACCCUCCGUGCUGCAGCCUAGUAAAAACUCUGCCAGACAAAGUACCGCUCGAAUUCAAUAUUCCACUUUGUGUUUU
This is an RNA transcript of Phragmites australis (common reed), 3268 nucleotides long. RefSeq lists it as uncharacterized. Lineage: Eukaryota; Viridiplantae; Streptophyta; Magnoliopsida; Poales; Poaceae. The transcript is spliced from 10 exons. The record is from RefSeq and is a predicted model, not a curated record.